GCUCAGGUCGUUAGAUACAUCAGGCAGUGUGCUGCAUGAGCUGUCGGCUUCUAUGCCGCGGCUUGAAGGUUUGCCUUGUGGAGUGCUUGAAUCGCGACUCUUGGGAUUCAUUUCCUGGGUCGGUCUCGAGCGUCGCUAGGCAAGGCGUGGGAUCGAAGUUUCAGUCCCUCUGACGCCCCUCCAAAUU
RNAcentral lists this unclassified non-coding RNA (187 nucleotides) under Haloptilus chierchiae. RNAcentral describes it as "partial ITS2". Lineage: Eukaryota; Metazoa; Arthropoda; Copepoda; Calanoida; Augaptilidae. The record is from RNAcentral.